RNAcentral lists this long non-coding RNA (4992 nucleotides) under Sus scrofa (pig). RNAcentral describes it as "lncRNA (ENSSSCG00000062609.1)". The record is from RNAcentral. Lineage: Eukaryota; Metazoa; Chordata; Mammalia; Artiodactyla; Suidae.
CUGGCUAAGAGAGUAUUUCAAAUACUCUCCUGCUUUGUAUCUAAGUCUCUGCCAAACAUAACUGAUAGCGCUGAAUUUGAUUUCUAGCAAAAUCUGAAUAAAUGGCCUCCGUUUGUUUUUAUUUGUGUGGUCCUUGUAUAUUUCUAUAAUUUCAUCAAUUACUAGCUGUUUGAUAUUGGGUAUGUUAAAUUUUCUGUGCUUCAUUUGUUUCAUACAUAAAACUAAGGUAAAAAUAGUAUUAAUAAAUUAUUACAAUUUUAUUCAUAUCUUAAUUUUGUUUAAUUUGUUAGCUUUAUAAAGGAUCACUGUAACUAGUAUUCUUAUGGUAAUAUAUCUGUGUUUUGUAAAAUUAUGUUGAAAAUAUACAACCUAUUAGGAAACACAGAAACUACAUGAUAAAUUCUCCCUUGAAACCAACGAAAUCUUUGCCAGUAAAUAUUUAACGAACUUGAAAAGAUUUUUUUACAAAAAAUGUAACCCACCUAAACAAAGUUGUUUCUAUUUUUGUAACAGCUGCUGAGAAACUAUUUCUGCAUCUCUUUAAGGUUUUUUUCUUAAGUGGUUUUGUCAGUGUCAUUAUUUGAUAAGCUACCUCAAAUUACUUUUGAGAUAAGCAAAGUAACUAAUUAUACAAGAAAUGCAUGUUAAAAAAGUAAACCAUAAGGUGAGAAUAAAGUCCUUUCUGAUUACCACCCCAAAUCUCCAUGUCCUUUCCAUAGGUGAUCACUAAUAUUAGUUUGAUAUGUGAACUUCCUACAUCUUUCCUAUGAAUUAAUAAGCAUACAUACAUUGCUGAAGUCUUUUUACUGACAUAUUCCAUUUGCUCCUUGGAAAAAUACGCUUGCCUUAAUAUUCUGUUCUUUCCUGAUUACUAUCUUCAGUCAGUAAGUAUACUAUUUACUGAGAUUUUAAAAGAGAGUUUAUGGAUUAUCUAGAUCUAUGAUCAUUUUAACUAGCUCAAGAUUAUUUGAAAUGUCUAUUAAGAAAUAUCACUGAUCGAGACUGCUAUGAAAAUAGUAGUCCACAGAGAUGUCUGGGCCCUAUUUGAUAUUUUUCCCAUAGCAGCAGAGAUGAUAUAGGAACCAAUUUUAGCCCUGUAGGAGUAACAGAUUAACAUAUAAGUUUUUAGAAAGAAGAAUGUAUACCAGGCGAGCAUGAAAGAUCACAAAUGGUGGCUGAAUUUAGCACAAAUUAACUUCAGUCAUUCACUAAGCAAAACAUGUAUAAAAGUAAUGGCUAGCAUUUAUUAGUGCUUAUUCCUUGUUUUCUAAGUAUUUAUUAAUGUAAUCUUUUUAUCAAUCUCAUUUUAUAGAUGAGGCAACCGAUAUCUAGAAAAACUGAGUGAAUUCCCCUGCUUACACAGCUAGUGAACAACAGAUGGGAUGCUAUACAAAAUAUCCACAUUCAGAACUAAACUCUUAACUUCUACAUGCUGCUGCUUUUCAAGGAAAAUAUAUAUUCUUCCCAAAAUGAAUACCAAUAAGAAAAAUGAAAAAACAUACAUGAAACAUUUAUACAUACAUACAUAUGAAAAACCAGUGAGAAUUUUCACCCUUGCCAUAGGAAAUCACCGUUCUUGUGUGGCUGGGGAAUACUACCCCUUUUGUCAGUAGCUCUGCAGUGGAUUGUAGGUCAUAUUUCCAUAGUUAAUAUGACAGCCGUUUUGUUCUCCUUUCUCCUGACUAUAUAAUAUAGACUUGCAGCUGUAGAAUUUCAAAAAAUAACAUUCUUUUUUAAUCUGACUCAUAAAAUACAUGGUAAUCUGCAUGAAAAUGAGCAGGACUGAAUAUGGAAUACUCUUAAGCAAAAGAUGGCAAGCAUAACAGAAAAAGCUCUCUUAAUGCAGUCUGAAAUUAACAUUUAAUUUUGGAAUUAUCUCCAAAAGGGCAGGCUGAUUUUUCUACAGGUGCAAGCAAUAUGAAUCAUUAAUGCCACACCUCAAAUCUCCUAAAAGGAUCACUGGCCAGUAUUAACUAUAUUCAUGUUAGACUGAAAUGAGAUCAUAUCUGAUAUUCAGUUUUGAAGCUACAAUUAUGAAUGAUGUGAUUCAUAUAUGCAUCUGAAAGAUGUUAUCAUUUCCUUUUGCUUUUAAAAACAGCUUCAGAAAGUCAACAUUGCAUUCUCUUGGGGAGAAAGGAAAUGCUCUCAUUAAUCCAUGAACAGGAAUCACGUAGACUGUUAAAACUGCAGUGAAUGUGGAAAAAAUUGGGCUCAAUAAUGACAUUUGAAGUAAAACAGAAAGAUCUACAAUUUAUUUGCCAUUGCUGAGCACCGAAUGCACAGUUAAAUUGCAGUUAUUUGGAACAUAGGGUCUUUUCAAAAACAAUUGUUUGGCAUUGAAACCAUUUCCAGACUUGAAUUACGUGCAUCAAAGAUAUUUUCCAACUAUUUUCUGUACAAAGAAUGGAUUCAAGCUACAGUUGUUCGAAAGGCAAAAGGGCUCCUAACUGCCAAGUUCAAUUUCCAAGACUGUGGUAAAUAGAACAAAAGAGACCCAACUGGAAUUUCACCUGAGUUUUAGUGACCUUGCAGAAAACCUCUUUACAGCUUUGAAUAUUAUAUAAUUUCUCUCUUAUUAUUUUCUCCAUAUUAUUCCAUAAACUUCAUCAGGAAGCUGAUAUGCCAAAAUUCACUAGGAAAAAAACCCGAUUCCAGUUCAUUUAUCUGAAAUCAGUGCAGACCAAAGAGGUUUGUUUUCUGAUUAUCUUUAAGGUGAGCUCUCUCCUACAUUCAAAUGGGAAUCUAAAAGGAGCCAUUGUGUUAGUCUUGGUCAAUGGUAAAGUAAAGCUUGUAAUUUCUCUUAUUCCUAUAAGCUAUCCCUUGGCAGAUAAGGAUAUGAUGAUGAUAUUACUGACCAGAAUAGUUUUCUAUCACUGGGAACAGAUUCAUAUCAUUCUAAGUAAAUAUGAACAAAAGCUAGUAAUUACAAAACAUCUGAUUGUGGCAUGAUAAAUUCUUUAUCUGCAAAAUAGGGGAAAACUUAUUGAACCACCUGAGGCCCUAAAGCACAGUGUCUUCUCUCAUCUCUGAGUUUCUCUGCCCAACUAAGUUAGUUAAUUACAAAUAACCACUAAAAAUGACAGAUUUUAUUUAUCUAAGGCCUUUACUUCAGUGAUGUUAUUUGUGUCAUCUCCUUAAUUUACUCACUUAUAAUAAGGUAACUGUUAUACAGUCAUCAAUACUUUUAUAAGAGAUUUACUGAUAUAUGUGUUAAUUCAAAAAUAUUUGAGACAAUUCUUAUGUUCCAGAAAUUGUUCUAUAUGCUAGCAAAGAUGUGGUAUUAAGUGUUUAAAAGAAAAUGUAACAGGGUACAGAAAAUAGAGUGAUUCUGGCAGGGCUACUUUAGAUUAAUGUCAGGAAAGUCUUCUCUGAAGAACUCAAUAGAAAAGAUAUUCCUUAAAGAAGGAAAAGUUAACUUUGAAGUAACUGGCAUGAGAACAACCUCAUCAAUUUGGGGGAAUUCAAAGGACAGAGUAUGUAAAGUAUAGCAGGAGAAGGUAGAAAGACAAGAGAUUAGGCUGUAUAGUUUUUUGGGGGAAAGAUCUUAUAUGGCAUUGGAAACUUCGGGGAGGAGUUUGGAUUGUAUCCUAAGUGUAAUGGGAAGGCAGUUAGGGGAGUGACAGGAUUUGAUUUAUAUAUUCCAAACAUCACUUGGGUUUUGGUUUACAGAACAGAUUUGGUGGGGGAAAGCAUGAAAGAAAUUCUAUCAAUUAUGAGGUGUAAGGAGAGAGGAAAUAGUAUGAAGUAGUCAUUUGGGAAAGUUAACCAAAAAAUUAUUAGUAGGUGAACAAUUCAUGCUGUGGUGGUUUAAUAAUAGAGGCUAUAAAAUUAAACGGGUUUGAGUCAGUUUAUCUAACUGAUUUAAUAGUAGAGAAAAACUGAGAGAAACAAACAGCAAAUUGGGUCUAAGUUUAUAAACUAGCUUGAGUCAAUAAUUUCCUCUCUUUUCCUCUGUUCCUCUCCUAGGUGAUAUCAAGGAGGAUAGGGUUAAGCCUUACCUGGAGAUGUGGGUAAGUGGCAGGUAUGGCCCUAGCUCUGUUCUGUGUUGGGUUGGGAGCCAAUGAGGUGCCAUCUGUCUUUUCAAGUGUUUGAUGGCAUUCACUUCUGAGUUUAGACAUGACUAAAGGGAACUGGCUAAAUACUUCUUAUACUUAAUGGCCUAUGCGCUUUAAUGUCAGAACCCUGCUAGUUCACUGUUCCUCUCAGUGACUUCACAUUCUUUCACUAGGGUUCAUGGGAACACAUGAAGAACCUGCUGGUCCCAUAGUUUUGUAAACAAAGAAUCCUGACUCAGGAACAUUUAUCAAGCUGCCUCCCACACACACUUUCAAUUCCAUUGCUUUUGAGACAUAUUUUGUCAUAUCAUUUGGUACAUAUCCAAAUGCUGGGAAUCAGCAAGGAUAUGCAGCUUCCCCGCACUAUGUCUGACAAAGCAAGCAACUACCUUCAAUUGACUUUGACUCAUAUAUAUAUAUAUAUAUAUAUAUAUAUAUAUAUACAAAAAUUCUAACCUCCUAUCCCCCAAAGUGCAGUCUUAUGGAAGGGUGAUUUUGGUGAGGAUUACAGCUGGUGGCAAGAAUACUGGCAUUUACAAAAUCACUCUUCUUCACACUGGCCUAAAAUAAAACUCAGUAAUUUAGUUCACCAGACUGGUCCCUUGAAAUGUUAAUGGAAUAACAAAAUUUUAGAAGUCUUUUUUACUCCUCUAAAUAAACAAACCAAAAUAAGUGGCUUUUAAGACGCUUGUUAAAGAUAUUUAGAAAAUCUGCUCUGAACUCUGAGCUGGUUAAAAGUCUUUUUGUUCCAUGUCACAUAAAGCUUGUAGAUAAAAAUAUGUAAGAAAUGAUGAUUUCAGUGGGAAACAAAAAGUUAUUCUUGCAAGAACAUAAAAACUGAGAUAGUUUCUCAAAUGGUAAGCUAAAUGGUAAAAGGAAAAAAGUUGGGAAAGAGUUUCUAUUUUCUUGUCCUAGAUUUAUUUUUUUGGCUUUCUGG